This 74-nucleotide transfer RNA is filed under the name Reticulibacter mediterranei. RNAcentral describes it as "tRNA-Thr". It matches the Rfam family "tRNA". From Rfam's summary of the family: Transfer RNA (tRNA) molecules are approximately 80 nucleotides in length. Their secondary structure includes four short double-helical elements and three loops (D, anti-codon, and T loops). The record is from RNAcentral. Lineage: Bacteria; Bacillati; Chloroflexota; Ktedonobacteria; Ktedonobacterales; Reticulibacteraceae.
AGCCGGUAUAGCUCAGUGGUAGAGCAGCUGUUUCGUAAACAGCAGGCCAUCGGUUCAAACCCGAUUACCGGCUU